AAAUUGAAGAGUUUGAUCAUGGCUCAGAUUGAACGCUGGCGGCAGGCCUAACACAUGCAAGUCGAGCGGUAGCACAGAGAGCUUGCUCUCGGGUGACGAGCGGCGGACGGGUGAGUAAUGUCUGGGAAACUGCCUGAUGGAGGGGGAUAACUACUGGAAACGGUAGCUAAUACCGCAUAACGUCGCAAGACCAAAGUGGGGGACCUUCGGGCCUCAUGCCAUCAGAUGUGCCCAGAUGGGAUUAGCUAGUAGGUGGGGUAACGGCUCACCUAGGCGACGAUCCCUAGCUGGUCUGAGAGGAUGACCAGCCACACUGGAACUGAGACACGGUCCAGACUCCUACGGGAGGCAGCAGUGGGGAAUAUUGCACAAUGGGCGCAAGCCUGAUGCAGCCAUGCCGCGUGUGUGAAGAAGGCCUUCGGGUUGUAAAGCACUUUCAGCGGGGAGGAAGGCGGUGAGGUUAAUAACCUCAUCGAUUGACGUUACCCGCAGAAGAAGCACCGGCUAACUCCGUGCCAGCAGCCGCGGUAAUACGGAGGGUGCAAGCGUUAAUCGGAAUUACUGGGCGUAAAGCGCACGCAGGCGGUCUGUCAAGUCGGAUGUGAAAUCCCCGGGCUCAACCUGGGAACUGCAUUCGAAACUGGCAGGCUAGAGUCUUGUAGAGGGGGGUAGAAUUCCAGGUGUAGCGGUGAAAUGCGUAGAGAUCUGGAGGAAUACCGGUGGCGAAGGCGGCCCCCUGGACAAAGACUGACGCUCAGGUGCGAAAGCGUGGGGAGCAAACAGGAUUAGAUACCCUGGUAGUCCACGCCGUAAACGAUGUCGAUUUGGAGGUUGUGCCCUUGAGGCGUGGCUUCCGGAGCUAACGCGUUAAAUCGACCGCCUGGGGAGUACGGCCGCAAGGUUAAAACUCAAAUGAAUUGACGGGGGCCCGCACAAGCGGUGGAGCAUGUGGUUUAAUUCGAUGCAACGCGAAGAACCUUACCUGGUCUUGACAUCCACAGAACUUAGAGAUGCUUGGUGCCUUCGGGAACUGUGAGACAGGUGCUGCAUGGCUGUCGUCAGCUCGUGUUGUGAAAUGUUGGGUUAAGUCCCGCAACGAGCGCAACCCUUAUCCUUUGUUGCCAGCGGUUAGGCCGGGAACUCAAAGGAGACUGCCAGUGAUAAACUGGAGGAAGGUGGGGAUGACGUCAAGUCAUCAUGGCCCUUACGACCAGGGCUACACACGUGCUACAAUGGCAUAUACAAAGAGAAGCGACCUCGCGAGAGCAAGCGGACCUCAUAAAGUAUGUCGUAGUCCGGAUUGGAGUCUGCAACUCGACUCCAUGAAGUCGGAAUCGCUAGUAAUCGUAGAUCAGAAUGCUACGGUGAAUACGUUCCCGGGCCUUGUACACACCGCCCGUCACACCAUGGGAGUGGGUUGCAAAAGAAGUAGGUAGCUUAACCUUCGGGAGGGCGCUUACCACUUUGUGAUUCAUGACUGGGGUGAAGUCGUAACAAGGUAACCGUAGGGGAACCUGCGGUUGGAUCACCUCCUUACCUUAAAGAA
RNAcentral lists this ribosomal RNA (1546 nucleotides) under Klebsiella pneumoniae. RNAcentral's name for it is "bacterial SSU rRNA". It matches the Rfam family "Bacterial small subunit ribosomal RNA". The record is from RNAcentral. Lineage: Bacteria; Pseudomonadati; Pseudomonadota; Gammaproteobacteria; Enterobacterales; Enterobacteriaceae.